AGAGUUUGAUCCUGGCUCAGGACGAACAUUGGCGGCGCGCCUAAUGCAUGCAAGUCGAGCGAACUCGUUUUCUUCGGAAAACAUAUAGUUAGCGGCGAACGGCUGAGUAACGCGUAAGUAACCUGCCUCGAAGAGGGGAAAAACCAUGAGAAAUCAUGGCUAAUUCCGCGUAAUAUCAAUUAAUUAAUUUAAUUGAAGAAAGAUUUAUCGCUUUGAGAUGGGCUUGCGUCCUAUCAGGUAGUUGGUGAGGUAAUAGCUCACCAAGCCUAAGACGGGUAGCUGGAGUGAGAGCUUGACCAGCCAGAGGGGGACUGAGACACGGCCCCCACUCCUACGGGAGGCAGCAGCAGGGAAUCUUGCACAAUGGGCGAAAGCCUGAUGCAGCGACGCCGCGUGAGGGAUGAAGGUUUUAGGAUCGUAAACCUCUUUUCUUAGGGAAUAGUUUGGAAGGUACCUAAGGAAUAAGUCACGGCUAACUACGUGCCAGCAGCCGCGGUAAUACGUAGGUGGCAAAUGUUGUCCGGAAUCAUUGGGCGUAAAGGGUCCGUAGGUGGCUUGAAUAGUCUUAUGUGAAAUCUCUUGGCUCAACCAAGAAACGCCAUAAGAAACUUUCAAGCUAGAGAUCAUCAGAGGGAGGUAGAAUUCCAGGUGUAGUGGUGAAAUGCGUAGAUAUCUGGAGGAAUACCAAUGGCGAAAGCAGCCUCCUGGGGUGAAUCUGACAUUGAGGGACGAAAGCGUGGGUAGCAAACCGGAUUAGAUACCCGGGUAGUCCAUGCC
RNAcentral lists this ribosomal RNA (777 nucleotides) under marine metagenome. RNAcentral's name for it is "bacterial SSU rRNA". It matches the Rfam family "Bacterial small subunit ribosomal RNA", at positions 8 to 801 of the family's 1533-position model. The record is from RNAcentral.